This 29-nucleotide non-coding RNA is filed under the name Mus musculus (house mouse). The record is from RNAcentral. Lineage: Eukaryota; Metazoa; Chordata; Mammalia; Rodentia; Muridae.
UCUUUAAUUGACAGGGACCUAUUUUUUAA